Molecule: ribosomal RNA, 253 nt
Filed under: uncultured bacterium
Lineage: Bacteria
Description: partial 16S ribosomal RNA
Rfam family: Bacterial small subunit ribosomal RNA
Source: RNAcentral
UACGUAGGGGGCAAGCGUUGUCCGGAUUUAUUGGGCGUAAAGAGCGUGUAGGCGGCCAGAUAGGUCCGUUGUGAAAACUCGAGGCUCAACCUCGAGACGCCGAUGGAAACCAUUUGGCUAGAGUCCGGAAGAGGAGAGUGGAAUUCCUGGUGUAGCGGUGAAAUGCGGAGAUAUCAGGAAGAACACCCGUGGCUAAGGCGGCUCUCUAGUACGGUACUGACGCUGAGACGCGAAAGCGUGGGGAGCGAACAGG